GACGAACGCUGGCGGCGUGCUUAACACAUGCAAGUCGAACGGUGAAGCGCCUUCCUUUUUGGUGGGUGUGGAUGAGUGGCGAACGGGUGAGUAACACGUGAGUAACCUGCCCCCUUCUUCUGGAUAACCGCAUGAAAGUGUGGCUAAUACGGGAUAUUCUGGGUCUGUCGCAUGAUGGGUCUGGGAAAGAUAUUGUUUCGGUGGGGGAUGGGCUCGCGGCCUAUCAGCUUGUUGGUGGGGUGAUGGCCUACCAAGGCGGUGACGGGUAGCCGGCCUGUGAGGGUGGACGGUCUCACUGGGACUGAGACACGGCCCGGACUCCUACGGGGGGCAGCCGUGGGGAAUAUUGCACAAUGGGCGCAAGCCUGAUGCAGCGACGCCGCGUGAGGGAUGGAGGCCUGCGGGUUGUGAACCUCUUUCGCCAGUGAAGCAGGCCUGCCUCGUUUGUGGGUGGGUUGACGGUAGCUGGAUAAGAAGCGCCGGCUAACUACGUG
Molecule: ribosomal RNA, 494 nt
Filed under: uncultured bacterium
Lineage: Bacteria
Description: partial 16S ribosomal RNA
Rfam family: Bacterial small subunit ribosomal RNA
Source: RNAcentral